Molecule: ribosomal RNA, 649 nt
Filed under: uncultured bacterium
Lineage: Bacteria
Description: bacterial SSU rRNA
Rfam family: Bacterial small subunit ribosomal RNA
Source: RNAcentral
CAGGCCUAACACAUGCAAGUCGAACGGCAGCACAGAGGAGCUUGCUCCUUGGGUGGCGAGUGGCGGACGGGUGAGGAAUACAUCGGAAUCUACUCUGUCGUGGGGAUAACGUAGGGAAACUUACGCUAAUACCGCAUACGACCUACGGGUGAAAGCAGGGGAUCUUCGGACCUUGCGCGAUUGAAUGAGCCGAUGUCGGAUUAGCUAGUUGGCGGGGUAAAGGCCCACCAAGGCGACGAUCCGUAGCUGGUCUGAGAGGAUGAUCAGCCACACUGGAACUGAGACACGGUCCAGACUCCUACGGGAGGCAGCAAUGGGGAAUAUUGGACAAUGGGCGCAAGCCUGAUCCAGCCAUACCGCGUGGGUGAAGAAGGCCUUCGGGUUGUAAAGCCCUUUUGUUGGGAAAGAAAUCCAGCCGGCUAAUACCUGGUUGGGAUGACGGUACCCAAAGAAUAAGCACCGGCUAACUUCGUGCCAGCAGCCGCGGUAAUACGAAGGGUGCAAGCGUUACUCGGAAUUACUGGGCGUAAAGCGUGCGUAGGUGGUUAUUUAAGUCCGUUGUGAAAGCCCUGGGCUCAACCUGGGAACUGCAGUGGAUACCGGAUGACUAGAAUGUGGUAGAGGGUAGCGGAAUUCCUGGUGUAGCAGU